This 223-nucleotide unclassified non-coding RNA is filed under the name plant metagenome. RNAcentral's name for it is "partial contains small subunit ribosomal RNA, internal transcribed spacer 1, and 5.8S ribosomal RNA". The record is from RNAcentral.
UUUCCGUUGGUGAACCUGCGGAAGGAUCAUUAAAGAGAAUAUGCCCUUCGGGGUAGAUCUCCCACCCUUUGUUUAUAUUACCUUUGUUGCUUUGGCAGGCCCGUCUUCGGACCACCGGCUUCGGCUGGUCAGUGCUUGCCAGAGGACCCAAAACUCUUAUUAUUAAUGUCGUCUGAGUACUAUAUAAUAGUUAAAACUUUCAACAACGGAUCUCUUGGUUCUG